ACCUGCGGCCGCUAAAUGCAGUCGAGCGGAAGAAGGGAGCUUGCUCCCGGAUGUUAGCGGCGGACGGGUGAGUAACACGUGGGUAACCUGCCUGUAAGACUGGGAUAACUCCGGGAAACCGGAGCUAAUACCGGAUAGUUCCUUGAACCGCAUGGUUCAAGGAUGAAAGACGGUUUCGGCUGUCACUUACAGAUGGACCCGCGGCGCAUUAGCUAGUUGGUGAGGUAACGGCUCACCAAGGCGACGAUGCGUAGCCGACCUGAGAGGGUGAUCGGCCACACUGGGACUGAGACACGGCCCAGACUCCUACGGGAGGCAGCAGUAGGGAAUCUUCCGCAAUGGACGAAAGUCUGACGGAGCAACGCCGCGUGAGUGAUGAAGGUUUUCGGAUCGUAAAGCUCUGUUGUUAGGGAAGAACAAGUGCAAGAGUAACUGCUUGCACCUUGACGGUACCUAACCAGAAAGCCACGGCUAACUACGUGCCAGCAGCCGCGGUAAUACGUAGGUGGCAAGCGUUGUCCGGAAUUAUUGGGCGUAAAGGGCUCGCAGGCGGUUUCUUAAGUCUGAUGUGAAAGCCCCCGGCUCAACCGGGGAGGGUCAUUGGAAACUGGGAAACUUGAGUGCAGAAGAGGAGAGUGGAAUUCCACGUGUAGCGGUGAAAUGCGUAGAGAUGUGGAGGAACACCAGUGGCGAAGGCGACUCUCUGGUCUGUAACUGACGCUGAGGAGCGAAAGCGUGGGGAGCGAACAGGAUUAGAUACCCUGGUAGUCCACGCCGUAACGAUGAGUGCUAAGUGUUAGGGGGUUUCCGCCCCUUAGUGCUGCAGCUAACGCAUUAAGCACUCCGCCUGGGGAGUACGGUCGCAAGACUGAAACUCAAAGGAAUUGACGGGGGCCCGCACAAGCGGUGGAGCAUGUGGUUAAA
RNAcentral lists this ribosomal RNA (924 nucleotides) under uncultured prokaryote. Its description in RNAcentral is "bacterial SSU rRNA". It matches the Rfam family "Bacterial small subunit ribosomal RNA", at positions 35 to 949 of the family's 1533-position model. The record is from RNAcentral.